AGCGAACGCUGGCUGCAGUCCUAACACAUGCAAGUCGAACGAACUCUUCGGUUUUAUUGUCGUACGGGUGAGUAACACUUGGUAACGUGCCUUUUGUUUCGUCAUAACUCAGGGAAACUUUUGCUUAUACCGCAUGUGCCCUUCGGGGGAAAGAUUUAUCGCCAUUAGAGCGGCCCGCGUCUGAUUAGCUAGUUGGUGAGGUAACGGCUCACCAAGGCGACGAUCAGUAGCUGGUCUGAGAGGAUGACCAGCCACACUGGGACUGAGACACGGCCCAGACUCCUACGGGAGGCAGCAGUGGGGAAUCGUGCGCAAUGGGCGAAAGCCUGACGCAGCCAUGCCGCGUGAAUGAUGAAGGUCUUAGGAUUGUAAAAUUCUUUCAACGGGGACGAUAAUGACGGUACCCGGAGAAGAAGCCCCGGCUAACUUCGUG
Molecule: ribosomal RNA, 433 nt
Filed under: uncultured bacterium
Lineage: Bacteria
Description: partial 16S ribosomal RNA
Rfam family: Bacterial small subunit ribosomal RNA
Source: RNAcentral